RNAcentral lists this ribosomal RNA (292 nucleotides) under uncultured bacterium. Its description in RNAcentral is "partial 16S ribosomal RNA". The record is from RNAcentral. RNAcentral also lists the same sequence under 1 other name.
GGACUACUGGGGUAUCUAAUCCCGUUUGCUCCCCUGGCUUUCGCGCAUCAGCGUCAGGCGAGGUCCAGCACGCCGCUUUCGCCACCGGCGUUCCUUCCGAUAUCUACGCAUUUCACCGCUCCACCGGAAGUUCCGCAUGCCCCUACCUCCCUCGAGCCCGCCAGUAUCAGGGGCACUUGUCCGGUUGGGCCGAACGAUUUCACCCCUGACUUGGCGAGCCGCCUACGCGCCCUUUAAGCCCAGUGAAUCCGAACAACGUUCGCACGGUUCGUCUUACCGCGGCUGCUGGCAC